AUGAUUGGUUUAGAUAGGAGUGACAGUUUUACUCACUUGGUGGAAAGGGUAGUUAACCGGUUGAAGGGUUGGAAUGAGAAAUUGCUAUCACUUGGGGGUAAGGAAAUUUUAUUAAAAGCUGUUAUCCAGUCUAUCCCUGUUUUUUCAAUGGGUGUGUUUAAAAUCCCAAAGAAGGUUUGUAAAGAAAUCACAGAUGCCAUGUCUGCCUUUUGGUGGGGUGAUACAGAGGCGGAAAAUAAAAUGCACUAGUUAGCACGGUGGAAGAUGUGCAUACCAAAAGUUAGGGGAGGCUUGGGAUUUAGAGAUCUCCAUGCUUUUAACUUAGAGCCUCUCCAAUAG
This 339-nucleotide ribosomal RNA is filed under the name Triticum aestivum (bread wheat). RNAcentral's name for it is "partial small subunit ribosomal RNA". The record is from RNAcentral. Lineage: Eukaryota; Viridiplantae; Streptophyta; Magnoliopsida; Poales; Poaceae.